UCUUUCGAAUGUUUUCAGUUU
Molecule: non-coding RNA, 21 nt
Filed under: Caenorhabditis elegans
Lineage: Eukaryota; Metazoa; Nematoda; Chromadorea; Rhabditida; Rhabditidae
Source: RNAcentral